Molecule: ribosomal RNA, 330 nt
Filed under: uncultured bacterium
Lineage: Bacteria
Description: bacterial SSU rRNA
Rfam family: Bacterial small subunit ribosomal RNA
Source: RNAcentral
GAUGAACGCUGGCGGCGUGCUUAACACAUGCAAGUCGAACGAGAAUCAACGGAUUGAGGAUUCGUCCAAAUGAAGUUGAGGAAAGUGGCGGACGGGUGAGUAACGCGUGAGGAAACCUGGCCUCAAAGAGGGGGACAACAGUUGGAAACGACUGCUAAUACCCGCAUAAGCCCACAGCUCGGCAUCGAAGCAGAGGGAAAGGAGUGAUCCGCUUUGAGAUGGCCUCGCGUCCGAUUAGCUGGUUCGGUGAGGUAACGGCCCACCAAGGCAACGAUCGGUAGCCGGACUGAGAGGUUGAACGGGCCACAUUGGGACUGAGACACGGCCCAG